AGUGAACGCUGGCGGUAGGCCUAACACAUGCAAGUCGAACGGCAGCACAGUAAGAGCUUGCUCUUACGGGUGGCGAGUGGCGGACGGGUGAGGAAUACAUCGGAAUCUACUUUUUCGUGGGGGAUAACGUAGGGAAACUUACGCUAUAACCCAAUACGACCACGGGGUGAAACAAGGGAACCUUGGAACCUGCGGGGAUGGAUUGACCGGAUGUCGGAUUAGCUAGUUGGCGGGGUAAAGGCCCACCAAGGCGACGAUCCGUAGCUGGUCUGAGAGGAUGAUCAGCCACACUGGAACUGAGACACGGUCCAGACUCCUACGGGAGGCAGCAGUGGGGAAUAUUGGACAAUGGGCGCAAGCCUGAUCCAGCCAUACCGCGUGGGUGAAGAAGGCCUUCGGGUUGUAAAGCCCUUUUGCUGGGAAAGAAAAGCAGCAGGUUAAUACCCCGCUGUUCUGACGGUACCCAAAGAAUAAGCACCGGCUAACUUCGUG
This 492-nucleotide ribosomal RNA is filed under the name uncultured bacterium. RNAcentral's name for it is "partial 16S ribosomal RNA". It matches the Rfam family "Bacterial small subunit ribosomal RNA", at positions 29 to 507 of the family's 1533-position model. The record is from RNAcentral.